This 450-nucleotide ribosomal RNA is filed under the name uncultured bacterium. Its description in RNAcentral is "bacterial SSU rRNA". It matches the Rfam family "Bacterial small subunit ribosomal RNA", at positions 328 to 792 of the family's 1533-position model. The record is from RNAcentral.
AGGCCAGACUCCUACGGGAGGCAGCAGUGGGGAAUAUUGGGCAAUGGGCGCAAGCCUGACCCAGCAACGCCGCGUGAAGGAAGAAGGCUUUCGGGUUGUAAACUUCUUUUAUCAGGGACGAAGCAAGUGACGGUACCUGAUGAAUAAGCCACGGCUAACUACGUGCCAGCAGCCGCGGUAAUACGUAGGGGGCGAGCGUUAUCCGGAUUUACUGGGUGUAAAGGGAGCGUAGACGGCUGGUCAAGUCUGAAGUGAAAGCCCGGGGCUUAACCCCGGAACGGCUUUGGAAACUGAGCAGCUAGAGUGCUGGAGAGGUAAGCGGAAUUCCUAGUGUAGCGGUGAAAUGCGUAGAUAUACGGAGGAACACCAGUGGCGAAGGCGGAUUGCUGGACAGUAACUGACGCUGAGGCGCGAAAGCGUGGGGAGCAAACAGGAUUAGAUACCCUCGUA